UUAAGCGACUAAGCGUACACGGUGGAUGCCCUGGCAGUCAGAGGCGAUGAAGGACGUGCUAAUCUGCGAAAAGCGUCGGUAAGGUGAUAUGAACCGUUACAGCCGGCGAUGUCCGAAUGGGGAAACCCAGUGCAAUUCGUUGCACUAUCGUUAACUGAAUACAUAGGUUAACGAGGCGAACCGGGGGAACUGAAACAUCUAAGUACCCCGAGGAAAAGAAAUCAACCGAGAUUCCCCCAGUAGCGGCGAGCGAACGGGGAGCAGCCCAGAGUCUGAAUCAGCUUGUGUGUUAGUGGAACGGUCUGGAAAGUCCGACGGUACAGGGUGAUAGUCCCGUACACCAAAAUGCACAGGCUGUGAACUCGAAGAGUAGGGCGGGACACGUGGUAUCCUGUCUGAAUAUGGGGGGACCAUCCUCCAAGGCUAAAUACUCCUGACUGACCGAUAGUGAACCAGUACCGUGAGGGAAAGGCGAAAAGAACCCCGGCGAGGGGAGUGAAAAAGAACCUGAAACCGUGUACGUACAAGCAGUGGGAGCACCUUCGGGUGUGACUGCGUACCUUUUGUAUAAUGGGUCAGCGACUUAUAUUCUGUAGCAAGGUUAACCGUAUAGGGGAGCCGCAGGGAAACCGAGUCUUAACUGGGCGUUAAGUUGCAGGGUAUAGACCCGAAACCCGGUGAUCUAGCCAUGGGCAGGUUGAAGGUUGGGUAACACUAACUGGAGGACCGAACCGACUAAUGUUGAAAAAUUAGCGGAUGACUUGUGGCUGGGGGUGAAAGGCCAAUCAAACCGGGAGAUAGCUGGUUCUCCCCGAAAGCUAUUUAGGUAGCGCCUCGUGAAUUCAUCUUCGGGGGUAGAGCACUGUUUCGGCUAGGGGGUCAUCCCGACUUACCAACCCGAUGCAAACUACGAAUACCGAAGAAUGUUAUCACGGGAGACACACGGCGGGUGCUAACGUCCGUCGUGAAGAGGGAAACAACCCAGACCGCCAGCUAAGGUCCCAAAGUCAUGGUUAAGUGGGAAACGAUGUGGGAAGGCACAGACAGCCAGGAUGUUGGCUUAGAAGCAGCCAUCAUUUAAAGAAAGCGUAAUAGCUCACUGGUCGAGUCGGCCUGCGCGGAAGAUGUAACGGGGCUAAACCAUGCACCGAAGCUGCGGCAGCGACACUAUGUGUUGUUGGGUAGGGGAGCGUUCUGUAAGCCUGCGAAGGUGACCUGUGAGGGUUGCUGGAGGUAUCAGAAGUGCGAAUGCUGACAUAAGUAACGAUAAAGCGGGUGAAAAGCCCGCUCGCCGGAAGACCAAGGGUUCCUGUCCAACGUUAAUCGGGGCAGGGUGAGUCGACCCCUAAGGCGAGGCCGAAAGGCGUAGUCGAUGGGAAACAGGUUAAUAUUCCUGUACUUGGUGUUACUGCGAAGGGGGGACGGAGAAGGCUAUGUUAGCCGGGCGACGGUUGUCCCGGUUUAAGCAUGUAGGCUGGUUGUCCAGGCAAAUCCGGAUAAUCAAGGCUGAGGUGUGAUGACGAGGCACUACGGUGCUGAAGUAACAAAUGCCCUGCUUCCAGGAAAAGCCUCUAAGCAUCAGGUAACAUCAAAUCGUACCCCAAACCGACACAGGUGGUCAGGUAGAGAAUACCAAGGCGCUUGAGAGAACUCGGGUGAAGGAACUAGGCAAAAUGGUGCCGUAACUUCGGGAGAAGGCACGCUGGUGUGUAGGUGAAGCCCCUGCGGGUGGAGCUGAGACCAGUCGAAGAUACCAGCUGGCUGCAACUGUUUAUUAAAAACACAGCACUGUGCAAACACGAAAGUGGACGUAUACGGUGUGACGCCUGCCCGGUGCCGGAAGGUUAAUUGAUGGGGUUAUCCGUAAGGAGAAGCUCUUGAUCGAAGCCCCGGUAAACGGCGGCCGUAACUAUAACGGUCCUAAGGUAGCGAAAUUCCUUGUCGGGUAAGUUCCGACCUGCACGAAUGGCGUAAUGAUGGCCAGGCUGUCUCCACCCGAGACUCAGUGAAAUUGAACUCGCUGUGAAGAUGCAGUGUACCCGCGGCAAGACGGAAAGACCCCGUGAACCUUUACUAUAGCUUGACACUGAACAUUGAGCCUUGAUGUGUAGGAUAGGUGGGAGGCUUUGAAGCGUGGACGCCAGUCUGCGUGGAGCCAACCUUGAAAUACCACCCUUUAAUGUUUGAUGUUCUAACGUUGGCCCCUGACCGGGGUUGCGGACAGUGUCUGGUGGGUAGUUUGACUGGGGCGGUCUCCUCCCAAAGCGUAACGGAGGAGCACGAAGGUUAGCUAAUCCUGGUCGGACAUCAGGAGGUUAGUGCAAUGGCAUAAGCUAGCUUGACUGCGAGCGUGACGGCGCGAGCAGGUGCGAAAGCAGGUCAUAGUGAUCCGGUGGUUCUGAAUGGAAGGGCCAUCGCUCAACGGAUAAAAGGUACUCCGGGGAUAACAGGCUGAUACCGCCCAAGAGUUCAUAUCGACGGCGGUGUUUGGCACCUCGAUGUCGGCUCAUCACAUCCUGGGGCUGAAGUAGGUCCCAAGGGUAUGGCUGUUCGCCAUUUAAAGUGGUACGCGAGCUGGGUUUAGAACGUCGUGAGACAGUUCGGUCCCUAUCUGCCGUGGGCGCUGGAGAAUUGAGGGGGGCUGCUCCUAGUACGAGAGGACCGGAGUGGACGCAUCACUGGUGUUCGGGUUGUCAUGCCAAUGGCACUGCCCGGUAGCUAAAUGCGGAAGAGAUAAGUGCUGAAAGCAUCUAAGCACGAAACUUGCCCCGAGAUGAGUUCUCCCUGAGACUUUAAGUCUCCUGAAGGAACGUUGAAGACGACGACGUUGAUAGGCCGGGUGUGUAAGCGCAGCGAUGCGUUGAGCUAACCGGUACUAAUGAACCGUGAGGCUUAACCUU
This 2900-nucleotide ribosomal RNA is filed under the name Klebsiella pneumoniae. RNAcentral describes it as "bacterial LSU rRNA". It matches the Rfam family "Bacterial large subunit ribosomal RNA". The record is from RNAcentral. Lineage: Bacteria; Pseudomonadati; Pseudomonadota; Gammaproteobacteria; Enterobacterales; Enterobacteriaceae.